This 1025-nucleotide ribosomal RNA is filed under the name Tamaricicola muriformis. Its description in RNAcentral is "SSU rRNA". It matches the Rfam family "Eukaryotic small subunit ribosomal RNA", at positions 73 to 1106 of the family's 1831-position model. Lineage: Eukaryota; Fungi; Ascomycota; Dothideomycetes; Pleosporales; Pleosporaceae. The record is from RNAcentral.
AUUAUACCGUGAAACUGCGAAUGGCUCAUUAAAUCAGUUAUCGUUUAUUUGAUUAUACCUUACUACUUGGAUAACCGUGGUAAUUCUAGAGCUAAUACAUGCUGAAAAUCCCGACUUCGGAAGGGAUGUGUUUAUUAGAUAAAAAANCCAAUGCCCUUCGGGGCUUUUUGGUGAUUCAUGAUAACUUUACGGAUCGCAUAGCCUUGCGCUGGCGACGGUUCAUUCAAAUUUCUGCCCUAUCAACUUUCGAUGGUAAGGUAUUGGCUUACCAUGGUUUCAACGGGUAACGGGGAAUAAGGGUUCGAUUCCGGAGAGGGAGCCUGAGAAACGGCUACCACAUCCAAGGAAGGCAGCAGGCGCGCAAAUUACCCAAUCCCGACACGGGGAGGUAGUGACAAUAAAUACUGAUACAGGGCUCUUUUGGGUCUUGUAAUUGGAAUGAGUACAAUUUAAACCUCUUAACGAGGAACAAUUGGAGGGCAAGUCUGGUGCCAGCAGCCGCGGUAAUUCCAGCUCCAAUAGCGUAUAUUAAAGUUGUUGCAGUUAAAAAGCUCGUAGUUGAAACUUGGGUCUGGCUGGCGGGUCCGCCUCACCGCGUGCACUCGUCCGGCCGGGCCUUCCUUCUGAAGAACCUCAUGCCCUUCACUGGGCGUGUUGGGGAAUCAGGACUUUUACUUUGAAAAAAUUAGAGUGUUCAAAGCAGGCCUUUGCUCGAAUACGUUAGCAUGGAAUAAUAAAAUAGGACGUGCGUUCCUAUUUUGUUGGUUUCUAGGAACGCCGUAAUGAUUAACAGGAACAGUCGGGGGCGUCAGUAUUCAGUUGUCAGAGGUGAAAUUCUUGGAUUUACUGAAGACUAACUACUGCGAAGGCAUUCGCCAAGGAUGUUUUCAUUAAUCAGUGAACGAAAGUUAGGGGAUCGAAGACGAUCAGAUACCGUCGUAGUCUUAACCGUAAACUAUGCCGACUAGGGAUCGGGCGAUGUUCUUUUUCUGACUCGCUCGGCACCUUACGAGAAAUCAAAGUUU